ACCUACGGGACGCAGCAGUAGGGAAUCUUCCACAAUGGACGAAAGUCUGAUGGAGCAACGCCGCGUGAGUGAAGAAGGGUUUCGGCUCGUAAAGCUCUGUUGGUAGUGAAGAAAGAUAGAGGUAGUAACUGGCCUUUAUUUGACGGUAAUUACUUAGAAAGUCACGGCUAACUACAUGCCAGCAGCCGCGGUAAUACGUAGGUGGCAAGCGUUGUCCGGAUUUAUUGGGCGUAAAGCGAGUGCUGGCGGUUUCA
Molecule: ribosomal RNA, 254 nt
Filed under: uncultured bacterium
Lineage: Bacteria
Description: partial 16S ribosomal RNA
Rfam family: Bacterial small subunit ribosomal RNA
Source: RNAcentral